Molecule: ribosomal RNA, 440 nt
Filed under: uncultured bacterium
Lineage: Bacteria
Description: partial 16S ribosomal RNA
Rfam family: Bacterial small subunit ribosomal RNA
Source: RNAcentral
CCUACGGGUGGCAGCAGUGGGGAAUAUUGCACAAUGGGGGAAACCCUGAUGCAGCGACGCCGCGUGAAGGAAGAAGUAUUUCGGUAUGUAAACUUCUAUCAGCAGGGAAGAAAAUGACGGUACCUGACUAAGAAGCCCCGGAUAACUACGGGCCAGCAGCCUCGGUAAUACGUAGGGGGCAAUCGUUAUCCGGAUUUACUGGGUGGAAAGGGAGCGUAGGCGGUGCAGCCAGUCAGAAGUGAAAGCCCGGGGCUCAACUCCGGGACUGCUUUUGAAACUGUUGAAGUCGAUUGCAGGAGCGGUAAUUGGAAUUCCUAUUGUAGCGGUGACAUGCGUAGAUAUUAGGAGGAACACCAGUGGCGAUGGCAGCUUACUGGACUGUAAAUGCCGCUGAGGCUCGAAAGCGUGGGGAGCAAACAGGAUUAGAUACCCCAGUAGUC